RNAcentral lists this ribosomal RNA (301 nucleotides) under Paenibacillus agaridevorans. RNAcentral's name for it is "bacterial LSU rRNA". It matches the Rfam family "Bacterial large subunit ribosomal RNA", at positions 392 to 695 of the family's 2925-position model. Lineage: Bacteria; Bacillati; Bacillota; Bacilli; Caryophanales; Paenibacillaceae. The record is from RNAcentral.
CUCUCCGAGGUGUAUCCUGAGUACGGCGGGACACGUGAAACCCCGUCGGAAUCCGGCAGGACCAUCUGCCAAGGCUAAAUACUCCCUGGUGACCGAUAGUGAAGCAGUACCGUGAGGGAAAGGUGAAAAGCACCGCGGGAGCGGAGUGAAAAAGAACCUGAAACCGUGCGCUUACAAGAAGUCAGAGCCCGAUCAAUGGGUGAUGGCGUGCCUUUUGUAGAAUGAACCGGCGAGUUACGAUUACGUGCAAGGUUAAGGUGGAAAGCCGGAGCCGCAGCGAAAGCGAGUCUGAAUAGGGCGC